This is a long non-coding RNA of Daphnia magna, 5850 nucleotides long. RefSeq lists it as uncharacterized. The transcript has 3 exons. The record is from RefSeq and is a predicted model, not a curated record. Lineage: Eukaryota; Metazoa; Arthropoda; Branchiopoda; Diplostraca; Daphniidae.
GCGGAGUACGGGCUUCAAUCGCUUCGGACACUCCCUGCGUUGGAGUCAGGUAAGCAUAAGGAUCGUAGCCCCAACGAGUCAAAUACUGAGCUGAAACGACACAACUGAGCACGAAAAACAAGGCCACAACCUGAUUGAACAAGUUCUUCAUUUUCCCUUUGGAUUGCGAUCGUCCACGAAACUUGGCCGUAAGUGAACAAAACUGGUCGGACAGCCAGCCUUUAUAUACUUCUUGUCUUGUGGUUCACAUUAUUCAAAUCGAAAAAGACAUCCGUGUAAUUCUUCCUGUCGUACUGGGCCUUUUUGAUUUGAUACGGCCUAUGUAACACAUGUGGUGGUACGUAUAGGCAGGGUAUCAGAUGACUUUUAGACGGAUUGUUGUGUUGGCGUGAUACCCGCCGACAAGAUUGAAUCUUUGUAAUGGCUAGUCUUUCCGCAGAUAUCAAAAUAUUGUGGCAAAAGAAGCUAUAUCAGAGGAUAACGGCGGCUGAGAUUGGAACCCUCCGGUUUCUAUGAUGAACACCAUCGACCACAAAAAAUUUCACGUUCAGGUUUUUUAGCAUACUGUGAUUGGUUUUUGAUUUGUUGGUUGCGUGAUGGACGUUCGUUUUGGUCGGCAUCUUCCGAUUUCGUGGAAUGGCUCUGAUAGUUCCGUUUGUAUCAUGAAACAUCUAGUCAUCGUUUAAAAAUUUUACUCUUUAAUCUGUGCUUAGGUUUCAUUCUUCUAGAAUAACAAAAUCGCGCAGCUAUUCGGCCGGUGGCUGACGAAAAUGAUUGCGUGGGUUAUUCCCUCACUGGGUAAUCGGAUACGCCGGUUGGUUUUCUUCUAUUUUAGUUAUCUAGAUUUUCGAGAGCGGUAGAAACAGGUACGUUCGUUAUGCAUAAAACUAGCGCUAAUUUAUGCUAGACAAGUCUCUGGCUUCAGUACGUUCUCCUCUAACGGACUGGCGUUCACCACACACAGAAAUGCGUGUAGUAGGUGUGCAGCCAACCGGUUUUAAUCGCUGUUCAUGCCUUCGUUCGGUUAACGUGAGGCCGAUGAGAGAAAACUGGAGGAUAUUGUUUAUUUGUAGUUUAUUUUUGUUAUUCAUUUUUAUUUUUAUAGGGGGCUGGGCAUGGGUAAGCAAAGUGAUGUCAUUUUUGUCCUUUAACCUACACCCAACGAUCUGUUUGAAGGGGGCGGAUUCAAGGACAAUUUUUUCUUCUUUCCUUAAUGCCUGUCGUUAGUGGUGUCAGUAGUGUCUACUGUCAAGCUGCGUGAGAAUCAUGUAUGGCAAGCCAAAUGUACCGACCGAAACGAAUGAUGAUCCGUGCGCAAUUCCAUGUAUCUGUAGGGGAUACUGUGUGGCAGUACCUUCUGGUGUUUCAAACAUGCUUCGAGUUUAUUUUAAAUAAUCGUAUAUAGUUUUGAUUUACAUAAAAACAUUCCUAAUAUUACAGGAAAUCUAGGUAUUAUAAUUUCCAUUUCCAUUUUAUUUUUUUUCUAACUUACCCCUUGUCUACACCCAGACGACUUUCUAGAAGGGGGCGUUUUCUUGUACAAUUCUUUCUUAACUUCGUGCCCAUUGCUUUCUCAGCGUACAGCUCCGAGUGGAUCAUGUGCUGUGUCGUGACCGAAAGGACGGCUUUGGAACUUCGACAAAAGUGUGGGUCUUGAAUGGGGACUGAAAAACCCUCGACUCUUGGUCCAAUUAUUAUCCUCUUGGUUUUUAAAUUAUUGGGAACUAAGCAAUUCAACUUUAUUUCUGGCUUCGAAUUCACUUGGUGUGUGUGUGUGUGGUUUACUUGUGACAAAUUGAUUAAAAAUGACUAAGAAGAAGUGAAUGUAGAACUAAAUCGCUUAAACGUUGUGACCUUAAGAAACGCAAGUGACGGUAACUACCUCCCAUUUAUGUGUUCGGUGUAGACAGACUCUAAAGUUAUUUACUAAGGUCUUUUUAUUUUUCCGGAUAGGUUGGACGUAGCAACAGGGACAUGGGUGAGUAAAAGAACAUCAUCUCUAUCCAGCCUUUUCUUACCUUAGAUUUUCUUUUUGCUCGAAAGAGGAGGGAUUCUAUGUCUAUGCGAUGGCUUUGUAACAUCCGCUAGUGCGGAUACGUGCAGGAAAGAAGUCGAGUUGGCCACUGUUUUGUUUUUUUGGUGAUCAAAGAAAAACUUAGUGUUUAUUUGCCAGCGAAGAGAAGAAAGCAAAAGAAAGGCAAAGGUUUGCGUACAACAAUUUCAACAUGACCCCGGGGAAACUCACGUCCCUCUUACAGCGAAUUGGCAAUUUCUUCUUGUAAAAGCCAGCCAUUGAAAGUCGUUAAAUAGUCGGUGGCCAGUAGCUUCCCGUUACUACUCAUUUCAUCCAUCUGCAUCCAGAUGUUAUCGCCGGGAAGCAACUCUAGAGUAGACUGAAGAAUUAUCGGACUUAGAUAAGUACCAGUUGCUGGAAGGGUGGUGACUUCGUACAACGCAGCGAUCGCUACUGCUUGGCCAUUUUUGUAAAUAUAAAUUCUUGUCUUUGGGCCAACGGCAUUUGCCGCAAACCCUACGUGUGAAGUAAAAGAAAAGAAGUAGGUUCCUUUAACGGGUGGUUCGAAUUUCCCGGUUGCUAUCGUCAUGCCAUUGCCACUGUUGACCAUCGCGUUCUCGUAGGGAAUGGGUACGCGCGUUAGCGCAAAAUCUGUAAUUCUCUGUACGUAGAAGUAGAUUGGCUUUGAUUUUAUGUCUUGAUAACCAAUCCACUUUUGGAUACCUGGAAAUUGCGAGUUAAAAUGAAUUCAAAAUUUGUUAUUGUUGGUCUUUUUUUUUUUUGGUUUUCGCUGAUCGAAUUACUUGGAUCGCUAACAUUUUUGGUGAAAUCGCAGUAAACGGUUUCGACUUGUUUGCUACCCAUGACAGAGAAGAGUCCACUUCUUGUAUUGCCAACAGUUUGCAGGUCUUCACAGGAACUGGGGAUUUUAUCGAUGGUCUUUGGAUCGUCAGCUGAACAAGUGCACUUAAACGCUGUAAAUUCGUACACGUUAUUAGACUUUUUGCUCUAAUUUCUUAUGGUUUCAGGUAUUACCAUCGACUUUUUUGGCUAAAUCCGUUAAUUUUGCAUCAGUCUCUGAUAACUCUAUUGGUAAAGUUCUGGACAAUCACAUCAAUGAGUGCCAUUGUUCCGAGGACAGGGAAAUGCCGCAUUGGAGGCUGUUCUCCGGGUUCCAGUUGUGCGGCAAUGGGAGAGUUAAACAAAUUGUUCUGUGCCGAAGGUGGGAGGGCAACGUAAGGACGAAAGCCAUGAAGAUUUUGAUUCCAAUUUCCAGGCAAUUGACCGUAAACGAUACCCGCUAGAACGGAGAAAAGGGCGACAAACUGCUGGCGGACGACCAACGAAUUGAACAUUUUCUAAAUUGUAAAAAGAAAAAUCGAUGACUUACGGAAUGCUUCAUCGUGGCUCGUGCAAACGGUGGCUGAUGAAAACGGUUGUACAAUGGCGACAAUAGUCGAGGUGAGAAUCAUUCUUCUUUAUAUACCUUCCGCCAUUGGGUUGGAUGCUACCCCCAAAAAAUUAGAAAGGAAAAAGAAACAGGUUACACUGAACUAUGUAAGCGGUUAUAGGGUGGCUUUGAUUGGAUUAAAUCGAUGAUUAGACGGGGCAUUUACGCCAUCUUGUUUUCUUCCAUUUUGGUUAGCAUGAAGGACGGGAGUUCUGUUCCUUAUAAUACCAUAUGAUUUCUACCAUUUGGUUGGAGGUUCCUCUUAAAAAACUGGUUGCGCCUAACUAAUGAAAACGGGCGUUGACGGUUUUUAAUUUGAUUGAACAAUCGAUUUUAAAAGGUUGCUGGGUACGCCAUCUGGUUUUCAUCCAUUUUGGUUGCUAUAGGUCUUGAUUUCAAAAGAGACGGGAGGAAAAGGUUUCUUGUGCAUACUACAAGCGCUAAUUUAUGCUAGACGGGUACUGACUUCAGGGUGGUAACCUUGUACAGUACGUUUUUUUGUUUUAGCUGGCGUUCAUCAAGGUUACCUUCUCUUACGAAAUUCUAUGGUACAACGUGGGGUGUUCACUUGACAAGUCAUUUAGCCACAACUGAAACCAAACGAUGUAUCUUAUCGUAUACGCGUAGGAAGAUUUUAACUCUUCCUUUUGUGUAUUGCUUCAGCUUUUUACUAUUCAUAGGCAGCUGGGCAGGAAAAUCGGCGAAAGACUGACAAGGGUAAGAAAAGGGAUGUCAUUCGUUUGUAACCCACCCUUGCCUACACCCACGGAUCACCCUUCCCAUAGAAAAUAUAUAUAUCUUAUUAAAUAAUACACUUGAAUCUUCUAUCUAUCCAUCUAUCCUUCUAUAUCUAUUCUAUCUUCUACUUAAAGGUUAUGAAAAACUUGAAUUUGAUUUUAUUUUUGUUUAUUACCUUUGCAUUUAGUUGGAAGGUUUGUUUUUUCUUAAGUGACUGGUAUGAAAUCGGCGAGACGGGUACCCAGGUAAGCAAAAUCGUGUCAUCCCUUUCCUACACCCAAAGUUCUAGCUUUAGAGGCGGGGUGCAUUCUAAAGCAAUUUACAUUUUUUAAAUUAUUAUUUUUAUUGUUUGAUUUUAUUUUGUUAGUUUUCUUUUGUUUUAGCGCCCGUAGUAUACUGUCAAAAACCUACGCUUUGCACGAACUCACGCUUCCCUACAAUGAAGCGACAUCAAUUUCUUCUUCUAAAAGCAAGCCGUUAAAAUGUGUGCUAGGUUCUAUAGUGAUGUCGAAUAGAAACCCUCCAUUGAUGUUAUUACUCUGCACCCAGACUUCGUCUCCGGCUUUCAGCGCUAGCAGGGUUUGAACACUUAUUGGACUUAGAUGAUCACGGUUUGCAAUGCCGUUCACUUCGUUCAACUGACUACGUGCCACUCCAUAACCAUUGUGGUAAAUCAUUACGUUUAGCUCUAUGAGAGAUGCGGUUGAAACAUAAAAUUGUGCAAGUCCACUAAAAGAAAAGAAGUAAGUUCCUUUAACGGGUGCUGUGAAUUUCCCGGAUGUAUUGGCGGAUGGUAUGAGCCUAUAUGGCAGAGGUUGAGAUACCUUAUUUGUUAAAAUUAUUUUCUUACCAUUCCACCCAUUUUUGCUUAACUUUUCUUCCUAACAUCAAUUCUGACUAGUGGUGAUGUUGAUGGAAUUUAGUAGUUUCUUAGGACAUGGCGCAAAUAUCAGAUCAUGAUAAUAACACAUUCCUGAAUCAAGUUUAAGCUUAACCUGUCAUGGGAUUCCUCUAGUUAAGAAAAAAAAAAACAAUUGUUACCCGCUUUUACCGUCCUAAAUGGACUCGUGUCGCGUUACUAUGUUUAAUCACGUGACAUCGUGCAGCUAUUUGCAUUCGGUCCCUUCGAAUAUUAAUUUUCUGUCUACACUGUUGUGACCGGUGGACUGUGUACAAAAGGUCAAUGAUGUUUUCUUUGUAUCCGUCUGCCAUUUGAUAGAAUUCUGCCCUUGAAAACAGGUUCCACUUGGCUCGAUGUCUUUUGCUGGGCAUCGGGUACGCCGUUUGGCUGCCGACAGGUUUUGUUACCUUGUUACCUUUUAAGUAUGGAGAAAAAGGUAUUUUCUAGUGUCCAGAAAACCUCUCGGCAGACGUGGCAGUUAUUUGCUUGUUUGUUUUGAUUGUUUUUUUUUUCAAAGGGAGCUGGGCGUGGAAACCGGCGAGACGGACAUAUGGGUAAGCAAAAUGCUGUCAUUUAAUCUCGAAAGCCUCCCAAUCACAAGCAUCCAUCAGCCUUACAUUAAGUGGGUGUAUUUUUUUGAAUUUUGCGCGAGACACUGUGUCCGCCUCGCGCAAAGAGGGUGUCGAUUGCAAGUGAAAUGAUGGCUCUGGAAUCGUAAAAAAUAAAAGGGUGUGGUUCGAAAUGUGA